RNAcentral lists this long non-coding RNA (1038 nucleotides) under Musa acuminata (dwarf banana). Its description in RNAcentral is "long non-coding RNA (MACU_LNC011872)". The record is from RNAcentral. Lineage: Eukaryota; Viridiplantae; Streptophyta; Magnoliopsida; Zingiberales; Musaceae.
CGGAGCAUAUCAAUUGCAAAUAGGACAUUUUAGAACAUAUCAGUUCAUAGCAAAUGGAGCACAGAGUAAUUGGAGCAUAUCAAUAGCGUACGAGAUGUUCCGGAGCAUAUCAAUGGCAAAUGGAACAUUUCGGAACAUAUCAAUGGUAUGCGAAGCAUUUUGAUGUAUAUCAAUGGCAUAGGAAACAUUUUGGAGCAUAUCAAUACAAAAUACGAAAUAGAAGCUCAAACGUCGUACCCUAGCAUAGUGCAUGUGAGGUUUAACUCAGUGGUGGCUCCACGCCGUGAUGAGUUCUCGAAUCCAUCCAUGGGUAGCCCUUUCCUACUCGAGCCCUCUCACCCUGCCCAAGUGCUAGGUCGGCCCUGAAUUUCAUAUCAAACAUAUAGAAGGUGAAGUGGGAUUCCAAACAUAAUAUGGUCUAUCCAUUUCUGAAUGACCACCAAACAUAAUCUAGAGCAUCGCGGGCUCUAAGCACAUACCCUUUACCAUUUCUGGCAAAGGUUCAAAUAAUCCCACAAACACCAGAGUACAAAAGGGUAUUGUGAAUAACAAAUUGGGACAUAUCGGAAGCAUAUGCGGAACAACGAAAUGUACAUGUGCCUUUAUGAAACAUUACGACACAAACAUGAAGUUUACAUAACAGAUUUAGGUAUCCAAAUACAUGUAGGACAAGAGCAUACAAGAAUUCAAAGCAGUAAUAUAAAGCUCAAUUGAAUAAGAAAGCUAAAGGAUAUCAAUUUCCAAAGGAAUGAAACCAGAAUAUGCGAAAUCGACCAAAGCUCGAUUUCUGGCAGAAUUCAAGAGGCACAUUUAACAAAUGAUUCAAACUAUCAAUCGUGCUCCAAUAUACUCAAGAAAGCUAUCAAAAGAAAGGUUUAUGAGUCUAUAUUCUGAUCAAAAAAUUAUUGUCCAAAUCAGAGGUCAAUACAUGAAGUUAUAAUCAUAACAAGGUAGAAAGGUCAGAAUCUCAGAAGUUGCACAGAUUCGGAUCGUUACGUCUAAACAUGAGAUAUAUCAAAUGCAAGGCUAGAACAAUUC